This 503-nucleotide ribosomal RNA is filed under the name uncultured bacterium. Its description in RNAcentral is "bacterial SSU rRNA". It matches the Rfam family "Bacterial small subunit ribosomal RNA", at positions 94 to 595 of the family's 1533-position model. The record is from RNAcentral.
ACCGGCGCACGGGUGCGUAACGCGUAUGCAACCUACCUCUUACAGUGGGAUAGCCCAGAGAAAUUUGGAUUAAUACCGCAUAGUAUACUAGAUCAGCAUUGGUUUUGUAUUAAACAUUCAUGGGUAAGAGAUGGGCAUGCGUUCUAUUAGCUAGAUGGAGUGGUAACGGCACCCCAUGGCUACGAUAGAUAGGGGCCCUGAGAGGGGGAUCCCCCACACUGGUACUGAGACACGGACCAGACUCCUACGGGAGGCAGCAGUGAGGAAUAUUGGACAAUGGGCGAGAGCCUGAUCCAGCCAUGCCGCGUGCAGGAAGACGGCGCUAUGCGUUGUAAACUGCUUUUCUGGAGGAAGAAACGCCGCGACGUGUCGUGGUUUGACAGUACUUCAGGAAUAAGCAUCGGCUAACUCCGUGCCAGCAGCCGCGGUAAUACGGAGGAUGCAAGCGUUAUCCGGAUUCAUUGGGUUUAAAGGGUGCGUAGGCGGACUUAUAAGUCAGUGGU